RNAcentral lists this transfer RNA (25 nucleotides) under Solanum viarum. RNAcentral describes it as "partial tRNA-His". RNAcentral also lists the same sequence under 3 other names. The record is from RNAcentral. Lineage: Eukaryota; Viridiplantae; Streptophyta; Magnoliopsida; Solanales; Solanaceae.
CGGAUGUAGCCAAGUGGAUCAAGGC